Molecule: ribosomal RNA, 497 nt
Filed under: uncultured bacterium
Lineage: Bacteria
Description: partial 16S ribosomal RNA
Rfam family: Bacterial small subunit ribosomal RNA
Source: RNAcentral
GAUGAACGCUGGCGGCGUGCCUAAUACAUGCAAGUCGAGCGAACAGACGAGGAGCUUGCUCCUCUGACGUUAGCGGCGGACGGGUGAGUAACACGUGGAUAACCUACCUAUAAGACUGGGAUAACUUCGGGAAACCGGAGCUAAUACCGGAUAAUAUAUUGAACCGCAUGGUUCAAUAGUGAAAGACGGUUUUGCUGUCACUUAUAGAUGGAUCCGCGCCGCAUUAGCUAGUUGGUAAGGUAACGGCUUACCAAGGCGACGAUGCGUAGCCGACCUGAGAGGAUGAUCGGCCACACUGGAACUGAGACACGGUCCAGACUCCUACGGGAGGCAGCAGUAGGGAAUAUUCCGCAAUGGGCGAAAGCCUGACGGAGCAACGCCGCGUGAGUGAUGAAGGUCUUCGGAUCGUAAAGCUCUGUUAUUAGGGAAGAACAAAUGUGUAAGUAACUAUGCACGUCUUGACGGUACCUAAACAGAAAGCCACGGCUAACUACGUG